CUCACACAUCAAAAUCACAAAAUUACUUUUCUUCCAUUCUAAUGAAACAGUAUCUGCUGCUAUUCUUUAAAAUCUAGGGUUCUUUCUCAUGUCUUCUGUCGGCCGGAGAGAAUUGAAGCCAACAUUCAGGUUAACUAUGGCUGGGGUAAUAACAGGGAGGUGACAGAAGAGAGUGAGCACACAUGGUCUUUUCUUGCAUUGAUAUAUAUUUAUAUGCUUGAAGCUAUGCGUGCUCACUCUCUAUCUGUCACCCCCACCAAUCUCUCUCUCUCUUCUUCUUUUCUCUCUCUAGAUUUCAUUCUGUUUUAUGUUGUGCGUUUCUGUGUUUUUUCAGCGUCUAAUAUUGUUGGAAUGGUACUCAGGGACGGAUCUAGGAGACGGAAGGGGUAACCUUUCAUCGAAAAAAUUAGACUGUAUAUUACAAGUCCAUAAUUACUUAUUAUGUAUAUAGUAGUUGUUGAAUCCCAUUCGCUUCAUGCAUUUGUCUAAUAAUACUCAUUCGCUUCAUGCAUUUGUCUAAUAAUACUCAUCAUAUAUAUAUCGGAUGAGUUUGAGUUAAUUGCUUGUUCAGGAUCAUUCAUUCAUGCUGAUUGGGUUUUACUGAUGGUGGAUCUGGUAAUUAAUAAACUUUUUCUUCAUUUAUUUGUAUAUUUGUGUACUAUAAUACUUUUCGUCUUCUCGACCGAUGGCCUUUCGGAAACAGUAUCUUUACUCUUCGGGUAAGUGUAAGGUUUGCUUAAACAGUACCCUCCCCAGAUCUUACUAGUGUGCAUAUUUUUCUGCAGAAAUGAUUCACCUCAUGUUUUAGUGGUUUCCUUAAUCACUCACCAUUUUCUCUAUUACUAUUGUUUAUACGGUCUUUUGAUAAUUUCUUGCACUUUCAUCAGGAAAAAAUCAAGAUAUAUAUAGUUUUUGCCUUUCUAGUUUAAAUGGAUUUAUCCCAAUCUGACUCUUGUAUUCGCGUUUCAAGAAGAUCCAUUACCUAGUUAGUUUUAGGAUUUUCUGCAAGAUUUUAUAUUAUCCUUUCUACAGUACUACGCAGUUCUUUAGAUAAAUUUCUAAUAUGUUAUUUACAAAAUAUUCGCACGCAAAUGUAAAAAGGAACCAUUUAGUACUCUAUUAACGUUUUCUAGAUAUCUUGAUCAGUGUCCAAUAGUAUUCAAGGUUAGUUUAUGAACAUGGAAACUAAUUACUAUUUUUGAUUUAAACAAGUACAAUAGGAAGGGGAACCAUGGAUUAAUUUCUAGUUUAGUUUAAUCCAUCAUUUUCAAGCUUAGCUUCCGUUUUUGGUUGAUACAAGUUUUAAUAUACAAGUCAAUCUGGGUUCUUUGUUCCUCUCUUAUCUCUUUUUUCUGUUCUGUCAUCAAGCUAUUGGCUUGUUGUAUUUGUGAAGCCAUUUUUAUGAAAGUUUAUUUACUAGUUUUUGUGCCUGUUUUACGAAGUGACUGACCGUUAGCCUGAACUGUUGUGUGUAUGACUCUUUCAUAUUGAAAUUCCAACACUCGUGAAGUGCUAAGUAGUUUCCCUAUUUUGUAAUUCUAGACCAGAAGCCUGUUUACUUAUUUCAAGAAUUUGGGCAACAAUAUUUCUUUUGGAUUAUUUUAGAUUUCCUUACCUGUUGAGUGUACUUGUUGUGGUAUCCUUACAUUUUCUUGAUUCAUCCUCACUUCAUCAAUUAGUUUUCGCGAUUGAGUUGAAUCAAGUAUCUGUUUUUAUUUAUAUGGUAUCACAGCCAGACCAAUUUCUUUAUUUCUUGGUUAUCCUAUAUGUGCUUUUAUGUUAUAUUAGAUUCCCAUAUUGGUUGAGAAUGUUUGAGCAAUUGUAUCCUUAUUAUUCUUAAAAAUAAUUCGCAACUCAUAAGCUAACUGUUGGGUGUUGGGGUUGAGUUAGACUCGAAAGCCAAGGUUUCACAAAUUAUCAAAAAGUUUGCAAAUGUUUUUGUUGUUACUUCCAAGUUCUAGCAAUACUAGUUGAUGGUAACUAUUCCCAUGUUACAUUGUGGUGGUGGCGGGCCGGUUGAUUUUAAGGUUAAUGGUGUUUAAUUCUCAGGUUAAUCUUGGAAACAUGUGUGUCCAUAGCCUGAAGCAGUUUACUCCUUUCUACAUAUGCCAUUAACCCACUCUUUCAAGGUUUAUCUUUUGCAUAGAAAGCAUCUUAGUGGUUAUUUUGACUUGCUUAGAGCCUCCGAUAGUGCAGCUGAAACAGCGAUGAGUUGUACUAUCAAAACAGCGACGAGUUCUUUGUUCUAUUUUGAAGAGUCACCAAUGUUCUUGCUAAAUGGGGAGUAGAAGAGGGGGAAGCUAUCAUUUAUUCAUCUGCAAAUCUGCCCAAAUAUGCAAUUGGAACCUAUUUUCUUGACAAAUUAAGCUCAAAUGCCUCCUGUCAAGUACAAAGAAAGGAGGAAUUUUUGUACAUGGUAUACACUGAUUCUUUUGUCUUUUGGUACUGCCCAUAGAAUUGGAUCCUCACUUGAUCUUUUUUGUUGUCUUCCGAUAAGGAACAAUCCCAUAAGUAGAUUAUUUUUAUAUCUUAGAAGAACCAUCAAUAGCUGAUGGUAUUAAUUAAAUGUAAGUAUUGCUCAAUUAGUAGAGGUUUGGUUUAUUAAUAAAAAAAAAGGAGUGGCGUGACUUAUAAUUUGAAGAAGGAUAUAAAAAAAUUGAUGUACGAAAGUGUUUCACAGUUUAAACCUAACUGUCAAGGUAUUAUUCGCUUUAGUCUGACUCUUCUAGGCUACCUCAAGGUUUUUGGGCCACACAAUUUUGUCCCCUUGAGCUUUAACCUAGAAGGUGGCUCAAUAGUUGAAUUCUAAACUAGCCCUUAUCUUUACUCUAACUUAUUUUUCUCAAGUGUAGGAUUUGCCUCAAAGGCAAGUUUCACAAAAAAUCUCAUUUCGAGUUCAAUCGCCGCUGGUCCAUUGGCGGUACGAAGUGGAAAAUGGAAGAACUGCAAUCCAAUCAAAGAUUCAAACUGCUUAUUGACACAGUCGAACAAAUGCGGCAUGUUUGGGUGAAAAAAGUUUGAAUAGAGCCAGAUCUAAGGGAAGUGUUUGAGUGAGCUAAAAAGUUUGAGUAAAGCCAGAUGUAACCUUGUUUUGCAGUGAGUAGUAGUUAUGAAUCCUGUAGCAAAAUUGGAACUGAGGGUUGGGAGGUAGAAGUACUUUUAUACAUUAAAAAUUCCAUAUAUUUCUCUAUUUUAUUUUUUCCUUUUUCCUCCUCUCCUUUGGGUAGGAUGAUGUGGCGUGCAGUCCACAGUUUGAGAUAGUUCUCUUUUUCUUUUUUCUUUUUUGUCUCCUUGCCUGUUGAAGGAGCGCACCUACAUUUUACAUAGUACAUACCAAAGAGGGAAAGAUGCUACUAAUAUUCCCUUAAGUUUCUUUUGGUUUUCCUUUUACCAUAAUUGCAAGUUCCAAAAUGGUUCAGUACGUCCUUGGUAAUAUAUGUACGUAAAGUGGUACUUCUUGAGCAACUUUAUGGUGUAACGAUAUCUAUGUUCAGAUUUGAGUAAUGAUGCCAGCCACGUGUAGGGGAGACUGGGUACCGUUCUGUUUUGGCUGUUUCAGUGUACAAAAGCUAUAUUUUUUAAGAUUAUUUAAUGAAUGGAG
This 3601-nucleotide long non-coding RNA is filed under the name Nicotiana tabacum (common tobacco). RNAcentral's name for it is "long non-coding RNA (NTAB_LNC003825)". The stretch from base 160 to 251 matches the Rfam family "mir-156 microRNA precursor family". Lineage: Eukaryota; Viridiplantae; Streptophyta; Magnoliopsida; Solanales; Solanaceae. The record is from RNAcentral.